This 314-nucleotide long non-coding RNA is filed under the name Cicer arietinum (chickpea). RNAcentral's name for it is "long non-coding RNA (CARI_LNC000353)". Lineage: Eukaryota; Viridiplantae; Streptophyta; Magnoliopsida; Fabales; Fabaceae. The record is from RNAcentral.
AAAAAGGGGAAAAUAAAAAGAGGUGGAAAUUAAAUAAAGAGAGAGAUUGUGUAGAAAAUAUAAAAGAGGAAAAUUAAAUGAAGAGAGAUUAUGUGGGAGCCACAUGUAUUUGUGUUUGUAUUUGUGUUUAAAAUUGUGUUCAAAUAUCAUUGCUCUUUUAGUUUUUUAUUUAAAAAAGUGAUACAUAUAGUAUCAUUCUUUGAAUCAUUUAAUUUUUUGUUAGAAGGAGCACUUUCGGAGUUUGUCAUGGAGCAGAGCUCAACAUAUAUUUUUUUUAAUAAUUUGUUUCUUUUAUAGUAAUUAUUAUUAGGUUU